GCUUAGAUUUUUUCCUACCUAUUUAUAGUUUUCCAAUUUCAUUUUCUGUUUGUUUCUGAUGUAAAAUUGUGUUUUUGUUUCAUUACCUUGUAUCUAACACACUUACUCAACAUAUUAAUUAAUUCUCAUAAUCUUUCCAUAAGUUCCUUGUGGUUUUCUAUAAACACAAUCAUGCCAUCUUUGAACAAAAUGAGUUUAUGUCUCAUUGUCUAAUAUUUUAAUUUUACAUAUGAUGUGAGGUUAUGAUCAAAGUUUCCUUUCAGAAUUCAAGUUUUCAACUGUUCCAGUGCAACUUAUUAAAAAGAUUAUUCAUUCCCCACUGAAUUUCCUUGGGACCUUUGUUCAAAAUCCAUUGACCAUAUGUACCUGGGUUUACUUCUGAACUCCUGUCCUGCUCUGGGGACCUCUGUGUCCAGGCCACCCUCCAAUGCCAUGGGGACCUCUGUGUCCAGGCCACCCUCCAAUGCCAUGGGGACCUCUGUGUCCAGGCCACCCUCCAAGGCCAGGCUGCCCCAAUGACGGUGGUCAUAGUUGGUCCAUCUGAGCUACACUGGAUCUGCUUAAACUGUUCAUUUCUUUUAUUCUAAGGAGAUUCUGCUGAUAUCUUCCUUCCUCCUGGGUAUCUGAUUAUAAUCAAUUAAGUGUCAACCAUUUUAGUAGAAAAAUCGAAGAGGUAAUUUUUCUUACUAAAGUGAGAUAAGAAGAAAGAAAGAAGUAACAUUUGCUCUGUAGGGCAUCUGCACAUUCUACUAAAACUUUGGGGUAAUCUUGGCCCAGUUCCAGAGACUGAGUUGGCUUAUGGGGAGCUGUGUUCACGGGGCGGACCAGCCUGGGGUCAUGUGGAUCUGGGCUCGGCCCCAAGCCCCUCACCAAUGCUCAGCCUCUGCGGCUCUACCGUUGGGAAACAGCCCCAGGGGAGGCUUGUCCCUGAGUGAGCACUCCCCACCGGGGCCCUGUUCUACAGCAUAUUCUGACUCAGCAGCCCCUUCCUUACUAUCAGCCCUCUCGCAUCUUCAAGGAUGUUUUCUUACAUCUUUUUCCAGACUUUCGGUUGUUUUCUGUUGGAGGGUGGUAUGGGGUUACUUGGUAGAGCAACACUCAAAGCCUUCCUUUUUAAACGAGUACAGACAGGUAGCAGUCAAGAUAAAAACCAAAAUAAAGAAAUCAAAAAAGCCCAGAGGAAACAAAUAAUCAGAGAAUACGGAUAAUUUCCAAAAAAUAUAAUGACUACCCUCCAAGAGAUGAUGGGACUAUGCAUUCAUGGAACAAGAACAGAUUGCUGAGAAUAAUUAUCCAAGUAUUAAGUGUGGGAGCUUGAUAAGGCUUGGCUCCGUGUCCGCACAAAAUCUCCUGUUGACUCUUAGUCCCCAGCGUUGGAGGUGGGGCCUGGCGGGAGGUGCUUGGAUCUCAGGGUGGAUUCUCAUGAAUGAGCUAGCACCAUCCCUUGGCACUGUCCUCGAGACAGUGAGUGCGUUCUCAUGAGAUCUGGUCAUUUAAAAGUGUGUGGCAGCUCCCACCUCGCUCUUGCUCCUGCUCUGACCCUGUGAGACGCCUGUUCCUGCUUUGCCUUCCACCAUGAUUGGAAGCUUCCCGAGGCCUCCCCAGAAGCAGAAGCUGCCAUGCUUCCUGUGAAGUCUGCAAAACUGUGAGCCAACUAAACCUCUUUUCUCUAUAAAUUACCCAGUCUGGGGUAUUUCUUUAUAGCAAUGUGAGACUGGAUUCAUACAGAGCUCUUCCUGAGAGAAAAAAGAAUGCGAAACACAGUGAGUGAUCAAAGGAUCAGGCAGGAAGUUCUAACAUUUGAGAAGGGCCUGGGAAGGCGGAGGUGGCAGACAGCAUGGGAGACAGUCAGCAAGAGGGCGGAAGACACGUCCCAGGCCCCGGCAACGGAGGGUCCCAGCGUGAGAGGACUCCCAAGGCUGGAGCUGGGUGAGAGGGGAAGAGAACCCUUUGAGGCAUCCUGGUGACUCCUUAGGGGAGGGGACCCUGUGCACUUCCAGAGAGAGAGAGGGGAUUUCCCAGCCCUCACACAUCUGAGGGCCUGGGGCGAGGGGGUGCUGCCGCAGUGGCACCGUUCCCCUCAGACUCGCUCAUCAGGACUUCAGCACUGCCCGUCCAUGGGGACGUCUGCACUCACAGUGUCCUCGGCACUGCCCUCCGUGGGGACGUCUGCACACACACUGUCCUCGGCACUGCCCGUCCAUGGGGACGUCUGCACUCACAGAAUGUCCUCGGCACUGCCCUCCGUAAAUGGGGACGUCUGCACUCACAGUGUCCUCGGCACUGCCCUCUGUAAAUGGGGACGUCUGCACACACACUGUCCUCGGCACUGCCCUCUGUGGGGACGUCUGCACUCACAGAAUGUCCUCGGCACUGCCCGUCCAUGGGGACGUCUGCACUCACAGUGUCCUCGGCACUGCCCUCCGUGGGGACGUCUGCACACACACUGUCCUCGGCACUGCCCUCCGUGGGGACGUCUGCACUCACAGUGUCCUCGGCACUGCCCGUCCAUGGGGACGUCUGCACUCACAGUGUCCUCGGCACUGCCCUCCGUGGGGACGUCUGCACACACACUGUCCUCGGCACUGCCCUCCGUGGGGACGUCUGCACUCACAGUGUCCUCGGCACUGCCCUCCGUAAAUGGGGACGUCUGCACUCACAGAAUGUCCUCGGCACUGCCCUCCGUGGGGACGUCUGCACUCACAGUGUCCUCGGCACUGCCCUCCGUGGGGACGUCUGCACUCACAGAAUGUCCUCGGCACUGCCCUCCGUGGGGACGUCUGCACUCACGGAAUGUCCUCGGCACUGCCCUCCGUGGGGACGUCUGCACUCACAGUGUCCUCGGCACUGCCCUCCGUGGGGACGUCUGCACUCACAGUGUCCUCGGCACUGCCCUCCGUGGGGACGUCUGCACUCACAGAAUGUCCUCGGCACUGCCCUCCAUGGGGACGUCUGCACUCACAGUGUCCUCGGCACUGCCCUCCGUGGGGACGUCUGCACUCACAGAAUGUCCUCGGCACUGCCCUCCGUGGGGACGUCUGCACUCACAGUGUCCUCGGCACUGCCCUCCGUGGGGACGUCUGCACUCACAGUGUCCUCGGCACUGCCCUCCGUGGGGACGUCUGCACUCACAGAAUGUCCUCGGCACUGCCCUCCGUGGGGACGUCUGCACUCACAGUGUCCUCGGCACUGCCCUCCGGGACGUCUGCACACAGUGUCUUUGGCCCAGCUCGGGUUAGGAGCACUCGCUCUGGAGGCCUGACUGUGCUUUUGUAAAUUUUCACAAACAGUCACUCAAUAGGUUUUAUUUUUUGUUUCCAAUGAUUCAAUGACCAAUUCUGCUAAAUUUCACACAGCCGAAACACUUGAGAAAAUUGGUAGUAAAGAACAUUUGGAAUCCCUGAGGAUUUUCAGAGUUGAGCGUGUGUGGUGGUUAGCUGUAUUCCUCCACUGGGCUGGGCCACGGUGCCCGGGUCUGAUGGGACAUUACUCUAGAGGCCUCUGGAAGGCGUUGGAUGGGUGGGCUGUGAGGAAAGAAGAUGAGCCUGCAUAGCGUGGGUGGGUCUCCUCCGAUCCGUUGAAGGCCUGACUAGAACAGAGAUAACACCCUGCACCAGGAAGGAACUCUGCGUCCGACGGCUUCAGACUAGACUGGCAGUGCUGGCUCUUCCCCGGGUCUCCAGCCGAGGGUCCACCCUGCAGACCUUGGACCUGCCGGCUUCCACGGUCACACAAGCCAAUUCCCUAAAGAUAAAUCUCUCUCUGUGUCUCCCUCUUUAACAAAAGGCCACCUUUAACCUUUAACAAAAGGCGACCUGCUGAGAAGUCCUUGUGCUCUGUGCUUUGAACUGGACAUCAACAAACAACAUGGCACUUAGUGUUUUUAAACUGACCAAGGGACAAGCCUGGAGCAGCCUCUUCCGGGGCCUCGAUUAACCAGGAGGAGGUGGCUGCUGUGCCCCAACCCAGGUGACAGAUUCGGGUGCCGGCACCUCCCCUGAGUCUCAGAGUCCAGGGAGUCACAAUUCUACAGGGACAACAGAAACACACAAAAGUGGGCAUAAAAUAAUCAUCGAUAGAAGGUUUGUCACUUUGAUGUCUCUGUGAACUGAUUUAAUGUGGUAUAGAAAGAUGGUCCCGUUACUUUAGAGGUGGUUAGAUAUCUCUGUAUAAUGCCUGUAUAUAAUAACUCUUACGUGAUAUAGAAAGAUGGUCCCAUUAUUUUAGGGGUAGUUAGAUAUCUCUGUAUAACACCUAUAUAUAAUAACUCCUAUAUGAUACAGAAAAAUGUUCUCAUUACUUUAGAGGUAGUUAGAUAUCUCCAUAUAAUGCCUGUAUAUAAUAACUCUUAUGUGAUAUAGAAAGAUGGUCUCAUUACUUUGGGAGUAGUUAUAAAUCUCCCUAUAAUGCCUGUAUAUAAUACUCAUAUGUGAUAUAAAAUGAUGGUCCCAUUACUUUAGGGGUACUUGGAAAUCUCUGUAUAAUGCCGACAUAUAAUUCUCAUGUGUGAUGUAGAAAGAUGGUCCCGUUACUUUAGGGGUAGUUACAGAUCUCUGUAGAGCUCCUGUGUGUAAUACCCAUAUACUAUGCCUCUGUUGAUUCAGAUAGAUCAAUUACUUCAUAGAAUGAAUCUGCGUGUCUAUUUUUAGGUGGAUGAGUUGCUAUGUUUUACCAUUACUAUUCUUGCUACAUUAGUUCAGCUUCUACAGGUAACCAAAUGAUUUUCAUUAUCGUAUAUUUAUAAUGUCUCAUCCAGUUAUUUUCUGGAAUGAGAGUACAAAUAAAUGUAUUUCUCAAGCUGAAAA
Homo sapiens (human) is the source of this 4805-nucleotide long non-coding RNA. RefSeq lists it as uncharacterized. The record is from RefSeq and is marked validated. The transcript has a single exon. NCBI's taxonomy places the organism in Eukaryota, Metazoa, Chordata, Mammalia, Primates, Hominidae.